RNAcentral lists this non-coding RNA (22 nucleotides) under Arabidopsis thaliana (thale cress). Lineage: Eukaryota; Viridiplantae; Streptophyta; Magnoliopsida; Brassicales; Brassicaceae. The record is from RNAcentral.
UACUAGUCCCGAGGAGGCCGAC